Molecule: ribosomal RNA, 308 nt
Filed under: uncultured bacterium
Lineage: Bacteria
Description: partial 16S ribosomal RNA
Rfam family: Bacterial small subunit ribosomal RNA
Source: RNAcentral
GAGACAGCAGUAGCCGCGGGAAUGCGUAGGUCCCGAGCGUUGUCCGGAUUUAUUGGGCGUAAAGCGAGCGCAGGCGGUUAGAUAAGUCUGAAGUUAAAGGCUGUGGCUUAACCAUAGUACGCUUUGGAAACUGUUUAACUUGAGUGCAAGAGGGGAGAGUGGAAUUCCAUGUGUAGCGGUGAAAUGCGUAGAUAUAUGGAGGAACACCGGUGGCGAAAGCGGCUCUCUGGCUUGUAACUGACGCUGAGGCUCGAAAGCGUGGGGAGCAAACAGGAUUAGAUACCCCCGUAGUCCCUGUCUCUUAUACA